ACACGACUACAUUAGAUACCCUGUAGUCCAGGGUGUAAACGCUGCGGGCUUGGUGUUGGGGGUCCUUUGAGGGCGCCCAGUGCCGGAGAGAAGUUGUUAAGCCUGCUGCUUGGGGAGUACGUCCGCAAGGAUGAAACUUAAAGGAAUUGGCGGGGGAGCACCGCAACGGGAGGAGCGUGCGGUUCAAUUGGAUUCAACGCCGGACAACUCACCAGGAGCGACGGUUACAUGAAGGCCAGGCUGAUGACCUUGCCUGAUUUCCG
This 263-nucleotide ribosomal RNA is filed under the name uncultured archaeon. Its description in RNAcentral is "partial 16S ribosomal RNA". It matches the Rfam family "Archaeal small subunit ribosomal RNA", at positions 717 to 982 of the family's 1478-position model. The record is from RNAcentral.